GUUAGGAAUAUUGGACAAUGGACGCAAGCCUGAUCCAGCCAUGCCGCGUGAGUGAUGAAGGCCUUAGGGUUGUAAAGCUCUUUUGUCCGGGAAGAUAAUGACUGUACCGGAAGAAUAAGCCCCGGCUAACUUCGUGCCAGCAGCCGCGGUAAUACGAAGGGGGCUAGCGUUGUUCGGAAUCACUGGGCGUAAAGCGCACGUAGGCGGACCAUUAAGUCAGGGGUGAAAGCCUGGAGCUCAACUCCAGAACUGCCUUUGAUACUGAUGGUCUCGAGUAUGGAAGAGGUUGGUGGAACUGCGAGUGUAGAGGUGAAAUUCGUAGAUAUUCGCAAGAACACCGGUGGCGAAGGCGGCCAACUGGUCCAUUACUGACGCUGAGGUGCGAAAGCGUGGGGAGCAAACAGGAUUAGAAACCCUGGUAGUCC
Molecule: ribosomal RNA, 425 nt
Filed under: uncultured bacterium
Lineage: Bacteria
Description: bacterial SSU rRNA
Rfam family: Bacterial small subunit ribosomal RNA
Source: RNAcentral